Molecule: non-coding RNA, 3504 nt
Organism: Cyanistes caeruleus (blue tit)
Lineage: Eukaryota; Metazoa; Chordata; Aves; Passeriformes; Paridae
Source: RefSeq, a predicted model, not a curated record
UUUUUUUUCUUUUUUUUUUUUUUCCCGUUUCCCUCUUUUUUUUAAAGCGAACGCGGGGACCCGCGGGCUGCCGGCCCGGCGCGGAGUCUGCGCGCCCCCGCACGUAAAAAAUAGUUUUAUAUAUUUUUUUAAAAAAAUACUAGUAUCACCAAAGAAUAAUUCGCCGAAAUAAUUUAAAAUCUUAAAGAAAAUCCAAUUGGCAGCCAGUUUUUGUUUUUUUUCUCCUUUCCCUCCUCGCUGGUUGCUCGCUUUGUACAGGAAAUUUGAAUAUCCUGGCAAGAGCCAGCUUCCCAGGGCAGCCUCGCAGUGCUCUGGGAGCUGCAGUGAUGGAGCAUGCACAGCACUGGGACUUUUCCCUUUCUAAUUGAUCCUACAUAGAAUAUUUUUCCCGUAUGUGCAUCAGGUAUAUAAAGACAAUUUUUUUAUGUUUGGAUAGUGAGUUUUCCAAGGUUAAGUCAUUAAUUGCUCACCUCAAAAACCAGGAAUUUUGCUUGUGUGUCUUAUGUGUGUUAAGUGUAGGUGAGGGACCAUCUGCCAAGUUUCAUCAUCUUCUAUUCUGAAGAAAUCCAAAGAACUCACCGGCAACUGCAAAAGUCUGUAUUUAGUUAAUUGACUUUGGUGGGAAAUACAUUAAAACUAAUCUGCUAAUGCACUAAACGUUAAAGAAAUAUAAGAGGGAAGCUUUAAGUAAUGCUUCAGGCAAACUGACCCAAAUCGAAAAAGGAAAAAAAAAAAAAGUCAGUGUGCCUGUUAUGUUUUGAAUUAUUAUCUGACCAAAAAAGAAAUAGGUUUUUUGUUUGUUUUUUUCCUGUUCUUAACAAAUAAACUUUAUAGGAACCGGGCUUCCAGAUCUGCCCCUUGUUUAACUGGAUGAGAUGACAAUGCUAAAACUUGGAAGUAACAAAAAGCAUCAUACUUUUCUUCUCCUCAGCAGUGUUGAGAAAAAGCUGUGGAUCCUGGAAUUUUACAGUGGAUUUUACUGGUUUUCUGGAGUGCUCUCCUACUGAAGCAGUGAUCUGAUUGUGUCCAGAGGGUCUGUGCAGGAGCUGAUGUGCCUGUGUUCAGAGGUGAGUUGGGAAGGUAAGCUCAUGUCCCACCUGCUCCAAAAUACCUGCAGCAUCUGCAUCCCUCUGGGUAAGUGCAGCUCCCUCUGACCCUUCUUGGGCACUGCAGGUAAUACCUUGGAGAUUUUCAGGUGAACUCAAAUUACCCUGUUCAGCUGCCAAUUUCUGAUUUAAAGCUGGGUUUCCAAAGCACAAACUAAGUGUGAAAGAAGCUGAAGUGAGAGAUGGGAUAGUUCAAACAUGGAACUAUCUAUUGCAUAAAAUAUUGAUGCUGUCACCUCAUAAAUGUACUUAUUUUCUCAGAUAUUUCACUGCCUAUCCCAAAUUUCCAGUUACCCAAUACUUGGCGUGACUGUUGAUUUUCCCUCUCUGCUGGAGGCUGGUGGAAGUGUAUUGGACCCUUGCUUUGAAAAAUCCUCCUUACUGAAGAGAGAUUUUGCCCUUGUUGUUGAACUAGGCAAAAGUCUGGUUUAUAUAAAUGUAAAAACAUUAAUUAAAAUGUCAACCUCAAGCACCAUCAAAAUGGAUUCUAAAGCUGAACGUGUUUGCUGUUGCUUUUUUCUUUGGGAUUCAUUUGAAGAGAUGAAAGAAAUAAGAUUGCACAGGUACAGUCAAGUAAAACAUUGUUACAGAAGUAAUUAAUGGUAAUAUUAUGUGGGGGGUUGUUUUGAUUUAGCUGGUACAGUGUAACACUGGGUAUGUGUUUCCUUUGCAGCAAGUAGCAGCUGCUCUUUAGGGAGUUGUCUGGUGCUGUCAGUGUUGAGGACACUGAAGUGGUGAAAAUACACUGCUUUUUUUGUUGAAAAAUGUUUGAUUUCAAUUUUAAAAUCACUUGGCAUGGGUCACAAGAGCUUUUGAAAUCCCUAUUUUUAAGUUUCCUAAAGAAGCAGGGACUCGGUGGCGCGUUGGGUGCGAGGGGAUGGCACAAGAAUUCAAACCCAAGGCGUCAUUUCUGACAUUGUUCAGGUUUUUUUGUGAUGCUGCUUUUUAAGAAAAUGAAUUGAAGGAAGUUGUCACAUAACGGGAGGGGGGGGAGGUUGAAAGGAAAUACAAAAAAUAUCAGUCUGUUUGCAUGGCUCCUGUGCAGCCCAGGCAGGCUGGUGUGUAAGUGCCACUGGCAGCUGCCUUCUGCAGGGCUGCAGCCUCUCCCUGCCCUGCUCUGGUGCUUUCUGCUCUGCUACAGGCAGGAAAUGUGAUGAAGUUCCAGAGAUCUUUAGUUUCUGGUCAUAUAAGGUUUGUCCAUUCACAUGGUAAAUAAGCAUCAUUUAAUCUUUUUUAAAAAAAAGGAUUUUUUUUACAUAUCUCAAAAGUCAAAUUGAGCUGAAUAAAGAUAUUUUAAGGAAAAUUUAACAGGUUUCAACUGUUGGAAUAUGGAUUUAUCAGAAAUACUAACAUUGUGACUUCUGGAAAAUCCUUGAUGUUCAGCAUCACCUAGGAGGAAAGUACAAGGUAAUAUUUCCCCACAGACCAGUUGGAAGAGCUGGGAAGUUCUGCAGGCUCUUCACAGUAGCAAAAGCAACUACUAAGUGUGAUUUGGGGUUGGGGGGAACAGUUAAUUUCUGACCUUGUUUCUGAAACUGGUUUCUUUGCACUGUAUAACUGCUUGUUCUCUUAUAGUUACAGACUGUCUGAUAGCACCUGUGAAGAAAAGAAACCCUGUCCUGUGGUGGUAAUGCAUGCAUGUUAAAUGUCUUCAUUGUAGAGUGUUCUUCAGUUCUUUAUAUCAUGGUUUAAAAAAAAAUUACAUAUAUAUAUAUUCAAAAUACCAUUUGGAAUGUCAACAUUCAGUGGGCUUUGAGGAGAUGUAGCAGCACAUCAUGGUUUGUAGGGACAAGGAGAUACAGACCAUUCUGGGCUGCCUCAUUACCUCAAGGAUAAGACAAGAAAGUGAGCUUCUGGUUAUCAUAGAUGUGGAAGCUAACACAUUCCCAUGUAUCUCAUUAGUUCAGGUAUGUGUAGACACGUUCUCUUGGUGCUUGUACUGUGCACAUCCUUUGCAGUUACAGAUACAUCCCUGUGAGCUCGUGUGUCUGGCCCUGCAGGCAGGAAGGACUUGUAGCUCCUUUUUGUUCUCCAACAUGGGCAUGACCACAUCCUAUACUACAUCUACUCCUCAGCUAUUGCUCUUGGGUCCUUUCCCUGGCAAAGGAUUGAAGGAUUGGCCAAGGGCCCUUGCCCUGUGUUUGGGGCAGAGAGGGGGGUCUGGAAGCCAUGGAGAGCUGUCAGCAGUGCUCUAGCAGCACGUAAAUACUGGAGUUUGGGAUUGCCUGUUGCUCUCCAGUAUUGCAUUGCUGCUUUAGUGAGGCUGGAAAUCGGUCCCUGCCGCACGAGCCGGGGCUCUGGCUCUUGGGGUCCCUCCGUGGCACCCCCACGGUGCUUCCCACACUGCCGGGGGCUCUGGGCUCCCACCCCAAUAAACCACUGCGGAGGCAGCAAACAA